GAUGCCGGUUGUCCAAGGAUGUG
This 23-nucleotide non-coding RNA is filed under the name Arabidopsis thaliana (thale cress). The record is from RNAcentral. Lineage: Eukaryota; Viridiplantae; Streptophyta; Magnoliopsida; Brassicales; Brassicaceae.